CCCUGUCCUCAGCUGCACUGAAACAGAGCAGCGAUGGCACAAGCCAAGAACCAUGGGUGUGAAACCAGGCAGAGUGAGUGACAUGGUGUUCACUUCCACUAAGCCAAAGCAGUUUACAGUUGCUGACGGUGUAAGGAGUACACGUUACAAGGCCGUGUGGGGGG
Long non-coding RNA from Gymnodraco acuticeps, 164 nucleotides. RefSeq lists it as uncharacterized. The record is from RefSeq and is a predicted model, not a curated record. NCBI's taxonomy places the organism in Eukaryota, Metazoa, Chordata, Actinopteri, Perciformes, Bathydraconidae. The transcript is spliced from 3 exons.